CGGGAUGUAGCGCAGCCUGGUAGCGCGCUUGACUGGGGGUCAAGAGGUCGCAAGUUCAAAUCUUGUCAUCCCGA
This 74-nucleotide transfer RNA is filed under the name Planctomycetaceae bacterium. Its description in RNAcentral is "tRNA-Pro". It matches the Rfam family "tRNA". Rfam says of the family: Transfer RNA (tRNA) molecules are approximately 80 nucleotides in length. Their secondary structure includes four short double-helical elements and three loops (D, anti-codon, and T loops). Lineage: Bacteria; Pseudomonadati; Planctomycetota; Planctomycetia; Planctomycetales; Planctomycetaceae. The record is from RNAcentral.